Molecule: long non-coding RNA, 722 nt
Organism: Leucoraja erinaceus (little skate)
Lineage: Eukaryota; Metazoa; Chordata; Chondrichthyes; Rajiformes; Rajidae
Exons: 2
Source: RefSeq, a predicted model, not a curated record
ACACACUCCUGGAUAGAGUCCUGACACACUGUGUAACCCCACACACUCCUGGAUAGAAUCCUGACACACUGUGUAACCCCACACACUCCUGGAUAGAGUCCUGACACACUGUGUAACCCCACACCCUCCUGGAUAGAGUCCCUGACACACUGUGUACCCCCACACACUCCUGGAUAGAGUCCUGACACACUGUGUAACCCCACACACUCCUGGAUAGAGUCCUGACACACUGUGUAACCCCACACACUCCUGGAUAGAUCCCUGACACACUGUGUAACCCCACACACUCCUGGAUAGAGUCCCUGACACACUGUGUAACCCCACACACUCCUGGAUAGAGUCCUGACACACUGUGUAACCCCACACACUCCUGGAUAGAGUCCUGACACACUGUGUAACCCCACACACUCCUGGAUAGAGUCCCUGACACACUGUGUAACCCCACACACUCCUGGAUAGAGUCCCUGACACACUGUGUACCCCCACACACUCCUGGAUAGAGUCCUGACACACUGUGUAUCCCCACACACUCCUGGAUAGAGUCCUGACACACUGUGUAACCCCACACACUCCUGGAUAGAGUCCUGACACACUGUGUAACCCCACACACUCCUGGAUAGAGUCCUGACACACUGUGUAACCCCACACACUCCUGGAUAGAGUCCCUGACACACUGUGUAACCCCACACACUCCUGGAUAGAGUCCUGACACACUGUGUAAC